AGUGUUGUAGCUCAGUGGCAGAGUGCUUGCCUAGCAUGUGGAGGCACUGGGUUCGAUCCUCAGCACCAUAA
Molecule: transfer RNA, 71 nt
Filed under: Marmota monax (woodchuck)
Lineage: Eukaryota; Metazoa; Chordata; Mammalia; Rodentia; Sciuridae
Description: tRNA.Ala
Source: RNAcentral